This 1436-nucleotide small RNA is filed under the name Pan troglodytes (chimpanzee). RNAcentral describes it as "retained intron". The stretch from base 1 to 102 matches the Rfam family "Small nucleolar RNA SNORA48", at positions 34 to 135 of the family's 135-position model. Lineage: Eukaryota; Metazoa; Chordata; Mammalia; Primates; Hominidae. The record is from RNAcentral.
GUGAUGCCCAUCUCAUAUCAGCCAGGGACAAAGCAACUCCUUGUUCAUCCCAGCUUGGCUUUUGAUCCGUGCCCAUGCCUGGUUCAUGCCUUGGACACAUAGUUUUCCUUUAAAGAGGUGGUAUUGUAGCCAGCUUAUACUUGCAUCUACAGCCAUGUUUCUAGUCCAGCUUGGUGUGCAAUACUAGAUGAGUUAAUAACUGGUCCUUGUUUCUGAUCUGGUUCCCAUUGUGUAACUGUUGAUUGGGAAGGUAGUUUGUGAGCCAUGAAAUGCUUGGUUCAUUGGUUGCUUAUUGACCUCAUUAACCUAGGACUUGAAUAUCCCAAAGGGUAUGCUCUUUACCACAUUCAACUCCUAAUUUAUUUGUUUAGGUUAUGAUGUGAUUGCUCAAGCCCAAUCUGGGACUGGGAAAACGGCCACAUUUGCCAUAUCGAUUCUGCAGCAGAUUGAAUUAGAUCUAAAAGCCACCCAGGCCUUGGUCCUAGCACCCACUCGAGAAUUGGCUCAGCAGGUAAGAGUGGCUUCUAUUCCCUCCUUCAGGGCUGAUUUAGGGAUGAUGAGUAUAAUCCAAGGACCAGAGAAGUCUUCUCUGAUCACCACCUUGGGAGGAAGACAUGGGUGCCCUAACACUCUCGAGACCUGCUGGGUUAAUUAAAAGCUAUUUCUUACCCAAACGUAACCAUUGCUUCCUCCACCCAUUUCCUGAGUCAAAUGGGAAGGCUGUUGGGUGAAGCCUGGCUGGCUGGGCAAGUUUGACUGUGUUCUGAAUAAGCACCUUCACUAUGGGCUAAGAGAUACCUUGGUGGUGGGGGUGAUCUUACAGUAGUCAGAGCAGAUGGACAGUCCUUUUCACCCUUGCUAAUGGCCAGAGCUGUUUCAUGCCUGGGGCACACACAAUUCUAAUGCUGGACUUUUUCCUGGGUCAUGCUGCAACACUGAUGUCAGAGCAUGUUUUUAAAUGUUCUGUGGCGGGGGCAGUGAUUAUUCUGGGUGUGGAUAAUGUAAGAAGUUACAGCAGAGCUCCAUUCUAAGGCACUUGGCUCUCAGUUUUCUCAGAGUGAACAUGCCUCGUAGUUUGGGUCCUAUGGCAGGAGUGCAAUAGGACAUGGAUAUGCAUCACCUGUUCUACAAAACUGGUUGCUGGCUGGGCGCAGUGGCUCACUCCUAUAAUCCCGACACUUUGGGAGGCCAAGGCAGGCAGAUCACUUGAGAUCAGGAGUUGGAGACCGGCCUGGCCAACAUAGUGAAACCCCGCCUCUACUAAAAAUACAAAAAUUAGCCAGGCAUGGUGGCGUGUGCCUUUUAUCCCAGCUACUCGGGAAGCUCAGGCAGGAGAAUUUAACCCAGGAGGUGGAGGUUGCAGUGAGCUGAGAUUGUGCCAUUGCACUCCAGCCUGGGCAACGAGCAAAGCUCUGUCUCAAAAAAAGAAAAAAAAA